This 825-nucleotide long non-coding RNA is filed under the name Rhinopithecus bieti (black snub-nosed monkey). Its description in RNAcentral is "lncRNA (ENSRBIG00000045324.1)". The record is from RNAcentral. Lineage: Eukaryota; Metazoa; Chordata; Mammalia; Primates; Cercopithecidae.
AAGAGAGUUACAGUAAGACUGAGGCAGAGGGGAGGGUGUUCACAAAACUAGGUGUUCAACUGGAGUGCCUUUGUGUUGAGCGUCCGUCAGGAUUUCCAGAAAAGGAAGAGAAUUGUUAUCAAUACCUGAAUAGCCCCGCUAGUGUCCACGUCUUUUCUCUCAGCAGAGCCCGUGAAAAUGUAUUUGUCAAUUGGGGGAUGGCCUUGGUUGCCUCAGUCCUCACAAUUCCCAGGAAUUUCACAGACAUUUCAAUUUUAACUGGAAAUGUCUGCCAGCCUCCGUUUGUCUUCCAGCGCUUCUCCCUCUGAGUGAUAAUCAGUGAUAAUCUUGCCCUCAGUGCAGUGCUGUGCUCUCACUUGCUCUAAUGGUUUUCAAGUUGAAGUCCUACCUUAUUGGAUUGCAGCCAUAUGCCUGAGAAUUCAAAUUUCUCCAUGUUAAAACAGUGCAUAUAAGGCCAAUGUGCAUUCCACAAGAUUGCAAAUUGUAUGCGGCUGGACUCCAAAUCUGAUAUGGAAAAAAAAUGUAUCUGCCACGAAGGUAACAUCAUACCAGUCCUUGUUGGCCUAUUCCAUUUCCUGGAGAGUCUCCACUGUAUCGAGUACGGCUGGAUCAAUCAGAGGAAUCAACUUGUCUAACCCUUGAUAGUCUAGUAUUCACCUCUAAACACUGCCAUCUGUAAGUACUGGCCACACUGGACAAGUAAAAGGGCAAUAAAGGAAUCAAAACUCCCAUCUCAACCAUUUCUUAAUGAGAGCAACAAUUUCUUGUUUCCCUCCCGGAAUAAUUUAUUGUGUCACGUUUAUUACUAAGGAAGUCUUGGUUCUA